GGAAGUGUGGCCGAGCGGUUGAAGGCACCGGUCUUGAAAACCGGGCGACCCGAAAGGGUUCCAGAGUUCGAAUCUCUGCGCUUCCGCCA
Molecule: transfer RNA, 89 nt
Filed under: Escherichia coli
Lineage: Bacteria; Pseudomonadati; Pseudomonadota; Gammaproteobacteria; Enterobacterales; Enterobacteriaceae
Description: tRNA-Ser(tga)
Rfam family: tRNA
About the family: Transfer RNA (tRNA) molecules are approximately 80 nucleotides in length. Their secondary structure includes four short double-helical elements and three loops (D, anti-codon, and T loops).
Source: RNAcentral